Molecule: unclassified non-coding RNA, 253 nt
Filed under: uncultured Alphaproteobacteria bacterium
Lineage: Bacteria; Pseudomonadati; Pseudomonadota; Alphaproteobacteria
Description: contains 16S-23S intergenic spacer region
Rfam family: Bacterial small subunit ribosomal RNA
Source: RNAcentral
UACGAAGGGGGCUAGCGCUGUUCGGAAUUACUGGGCGUAAAGCGCACGUAGGCGGAUUGUUUAGUGAGGGGUGAAACCCCAGGGCUCAACCCUGGAACUGCCUCUCAUACUGGCAAUCUCGAGUCCGGAAGAGGUGAGUGGAAUUCCGAGUGUAGAGGUGAAAUUCGUAGAUAUUCGGAGGAACACCAGUGGCGAAGGCGGCUCACUGGUCCGGUACCGACGCUGAGGUGUGAAAGCGUGGGGAGCAACCAGG